AACUUCCUUUAUUUUGCGUUUUUGCAUUUAUCACCAGAAGUCAUUACUAAACUAUUGAUAGUCACACAUACUGUCGAUGCAUCGAUAGUGUUUUGUUUCCGAGU
This is a long non-coding RNA of Haliotis rubra (blacklip abalone), 104 nucleotides long. RefSeq lists it as uncharacterized. The record is from RefSeq and is a predicted model, not a curated record. The transcript is spliced from 3 exons. Lineage: Eukaryota; Metazoa; Mollusca; Gastropoda; Lepetellida; Haliotidae.